CCAGAUCCCAAGGACUUUGACUUCAGACAGAUGAAGAGAAGGAGCUAGGGUGCAGAUGGAGAACAGGGCUGUCCGCCUCUGGCUCCUGAGUGCUGGGACUAAAGGCGAGCAUCACCACCAUCCGGCUUGGUUUGUCUAAGUGCACCAGCACUGCCCCCAUUGUCUAAGUGCGGUCACACCACAUAUUUUGUCACAGUGAUGUAAAGUUAUCUGCUGCAAUAAACCUCAUGUUUUGGGGG
Molecule: long non-coding RNA, 239 nt
Organism: Mastomys coucha (southern multimammate mouse)
Lineage: Eukaryota; Metazoa; Chordata; Mammalia; Rodentia; Muridae
Exons: 2
Source: RefSeq, a predicted model, not a curated record